UCCUGGCCCCCAUCUCCUCACCCCAAGUCCUGGGAUACCCAUGUCCAUAGCCCAGUGUCCCCUGUGAGGAGCCUGGUUAACUUAUAUUGUUAUAUAGCGUCCCCUGUCUGUCAUGUCUCUUAAGUUAUUGUGACCUACACUGGGUACUGGAGGGGAUGGGGGAUGGCUUCCGCUGCUGUCCCCCAAGCCAGGCUCCUCCUUCUGCUUGAAACAGACCCUCGGGGGCCCCUGAUGCCACCGAGGCAAUUCGCACUGUCCCUGGGCUGCCAGGCACCUGCGCCUGCACUCGGUCAGCCGCAGACCUUGCCUUGGGGGAGAGAGGUGGUUAGUGGACCCAGGCAGGGCACUGGCUGUCCCAAUGCUGUGUGCUGGGGUGGAGGUGGCCGGGCACCACAUGUCCUUGAAGUGCCCUACUUCUGAUGGGCUGUGUUCCUGCCUCCUCUGGAGGGGGGCACUUAGCCCCAAUAAAAGCUGGAAUCAG
Molecule: long non-coding RNA, 481 nt
Filed under: Rattus norvegicus (Norway rat)
Lineage: Eukaryota; Metazoa; Chordata; Mammalia; Rodentia; Muridae
Description: long non-coding RNA NONRATT027204
Source: RNAcentral